ACCAGACCUGAAUGUCCAUUACAGUGUUCACAAAAUUUUACAUACCAUUAAACUUUCCUGAGCCAUUUGAACCAAAUCUAGAACUUCAUACCCUAUUUAUUUAAGAUUAAUUUUAAUAUUAUCCUGCCACCUGCUCUUAGAUUUUCCAUGUGGCCCCUUUUUAAAUAUUUUUCUCCUCCAUACCUCCUGCAUAUAUCGCCUCUUAAUCUGACUAGAUUUUAUUACCCUGUCGAUACAUAGUGAAGAGCAUUCCUACACAUUAUGGAGCUUCUAAUCGUGUGAGUCUUUCUAUUGUCUUGAAAUUUCUUCUCUCUUAGUUUCAGACAACUUCCUCAGCACUUGGUUUUCAAAUAUCGACAAAAUGUUUUCUUCUUUUACUGUGAGAGACUACGUUUUCUUCGUAAUAAAAGAGCAGAUACUAUGGUAAAUUCUUCUCUUCAAACAUGAAUUUGACAAAUAAAAGUAUUUAAAUUCUGCUUGUUGAUAAAGAGCGUAGUAAGUAGUCAGUUUUUCAACAUGUCCUAAUUUCAGUCGGAAGGCAUAGUUGUUACAAAGCGUAAUUCACUGCUAUUUCUUUUAUGUACAGUUUUAUGGAGAAAUAAUUUAACUUAUACCUCAGAUAAUUCAGUACACAUCUCUAGAUAUUUAAUGGUGCUGCAUAGAAUAAAAUAUUAAUUUUAGGAAGCUAAUGGACGAUAAAUUGGAAGUUUGGUUUAAACAAAAUAAUUGAGAAUAGGUGUUCAUUCAAUGCUCUGUUAUGUGUAAAACACUUAUUGUAAAACUCAAAGGAAUAAAAGGGGGAUUUAUUACUGAGAUAUUACGUUUAAGUAGCUCAGUCAGUAUAGUGACUGACCACAAAUGUAUAGGUCAAAGUUGUAAAGAUUUCUAUUAGUGGUGAAUAAAAUGAUAUUCAUCGUGUUCAAAUCUCGAUCCGGAGACUGGCGAUACUUGUGAGGCAUUUUCGUGGUCUUUAUCAGUCCCUCAAGGCAAUUAUCGGAGUACUACCUCAAAAAAGAUAUAAAAAUGUAGUAUGCUUUUUGGUGUACAUUGUCAUUCUUAUCUUAUUCUUCACGAUACAUUACAUGGUUUGAUAUAUGGCUUUAUCUUUAGACUAAUUGUAAUUACAUUUAUAUUCAUUAGCAAGGAAACAUUAUGAACUUUUAUAAUAGCGGUAAAAUGCAAUAUAAUCGAGUUACCUUGCUUCUCUUCGUGGCUCUUGAAGCACAAAACACACAUAACUCAAUUUUAUGAAGGCUGAAACUCUGUUUCAGAAAAGUGCUGGGAUGUCGUGGUGUAGCUGAAAAAUCGGAAUGCGAAGGGUUUAUUUAACGUUACCAAAAGUCUAUGCACAUCAAAUGCAAGGAGACCAAUGACUAAUGAACAUAAAACGAAAAAAUUGCCUGUAAUAAAAAUACCCCAUCUACUACACUACGAAUAUAUACCUUAUAUUUCCUCGUGGUGUAUGAAAUUUGUCUUUGUGCUCAUUUCACCAUGAAAACCAUAAUUUUAGAAUUAUUUUAUCACAUUUCAUAUGGGAAACCCGGAAGGAAAUACGGAGAGUAGACAGUAAAUACUGACAUAUCAGCAACUGUCUAUGGAAAAUUUUCAUAUCAUUCAUUAGUAAAAAUCUGCAAAAAACUGUGUUGUCAGAGGUUUGCUUUUAAUAAGAGCAGAACUGUUUGUUGUCCCACUGUCUGCAUUUUUACAAAGAGAAAGCCUUGCAGACCGUUAUUAUUUUAAUCUGCACGGUUUGAGAAAAAAUUAUUAUUACGCUACAGUCUUGUAAAUAAAAAAUAAUUUGCGGAAUAAAAAAACAUGUUUAAACCAAUGCAAUAUUAUUGAUCGACGUUGUCUGUAAAACUAAAAUGAAAUUACUACUGUCGCCAUCUGUCUAUAUAAAUUAUACAAAGAUUCGAAAGGUAAAUUUAAUAUUUGAGUAUAUUGUUGUAUGAUUGGCCAAUCUGCUGAUACCUGGUCGUGCUGUAGCUAAAUGUCAGAUAUUGACGUGCUGUGACUGUGGUUCAAUUUUAGUCAAUUUGUGCCGAGUGAGUGCUGCGUAAAGGUAAAUGCUGUUAUCUUCAGUUUAUAAAGACAAGUCCUGGGAAAGCUUGUAAGAAGUUCUGGUCCAGGUGAUUGUGUUGUACGAGGUUGCGCCGAAUAAACUGGUAGAAGUUUCCCGAUGUUCCAGAGGCGCCUACUGCCUACAUCACCAAACUGAUGAGUCAACGUCUACCGAACUACACGACUCAACAUUCCAGAAGACCAUCACCUUUAGCGUUCCUAUAUAUUGUACCUUCAGGCAGAAGAUAAGACCAAGAAGUUUUACAAUGUAUAUGAUGAUCAAGACUACAUUUCCCAAGAACCCUCGAGACAGUCAUCUUCAGUCAGAAAGUGAAUCGGAAAUCUUAUGGAAAUAAAACCCCUUUAAAGACCCCUUUAAACUCAUAGGUCCAACACGACAAUAAUUAGAACUUAUUUAUUAAAAUUAUCUUCUUCGCCAAUAAACUAUAACCUAUGAAUUUACAGCUAGACGGAACCUUAAAUGCAUACAAAAUUUUAGUAGGAUAACUUGAAGGAAAGCGAUUAAUGACUUGAUAAACCCAUGUGCAAAUAUGAGGGUAUUAUUUACAAAGUAUCUGAAUUAAUUUAGGUGUGGUGAUGUGUACAGAAGACUUGCCACCACUUGUUCUGCACACCGUACGUGAGUUUCGCGUAAAUCCGUUUAGCUUUUAAUUUUUACGUCAAAGCAGCAUAGAAGUCAGACUGGCGAUGCAGUUCUUUAAUCAGGAAAAUUAACUACGUCGAGGAAGAUGAACGUGGCGCGUCCACCCAGACAAAGCGAUCUUAACACACGUCCUACAAUGAAACUAAGACCUCCCUAAUGCUAAGAGGAUGCCUACCGCUUAUAUCACUAACCUGAGCGGAUAAUGCUACAUUAAUCUGUGUGCUUAAGUGAAUAGAAGACCACAGACAAUGAGAAUUGACUGGGCAACUCUCCAAUGAUCGUGUUUACGGCAGACGUUGCUUAGUAGGGCCACACAUUUACCCGGCUUGGCAGACACUGCACCAUGAUGAUAGGAUUUCAGUAGGAACCAAAACCAUCCUUCGUCAUUGGGCGUGGAGCACUACUUCUUGCUACGAGAGGGAGCAUUCUAUUACCUAGGCAUCUCUUAAUGCCAACCUGUUUUAAGCUUAAUGGAAAUCACAUUUUGAAAGCGACAGACUGUCAGACUACUCAUUCCUUUCACCAGACGUGAACUUUAAUGUGGUAACAUUUAUGUAAUACAAAGAGCUAAUUUAAUAUAAACGCUUAAAUGAAUUGAAAAUUAAACGUGAAACAGAAAACGGGCAUCAAACAUUUCGUAAAGGAUCAACGUUGGCUUUCCAAUUGAAAAGCUAAAAUUAGUGUGUAGAUGAAACUAAAUGUCAGUUUUGCUCAUCACACGACUUAAUAUCUUUUAGAGCGAAAUGUUGGUGGAAUGGAAGGGUAAUUAGCUGCAGUAAUGUGUUUCAGUCUGACGAUAUAUAUACACUGGUACGCUUAGGUUACACUUACAUACACUUAUGAGUUGUAUAAUACGUUAAAUAAUAUUAUCAUAUAAUAUAAUGUAAUAACGAUUUUAAUAUAAUUUGUUUACAUUCA
This is a non-coding RNA of Zootermopsis nevadensis, 3643 nucleotides long. The record is from RefSeq and is a predicted model, not a curated record. NCBI's taxonomy places the organism in Eukaryota, Metazoa, Arthropoda, Insecta, Blattodea, Termopsidae.